UGGUUAUGCACCACAGGUUGCAUAGAGUGGAAGGCAGCUCCAUCCCCACCCUGAGAACACUCGCCCAGCUCACGAGGAGCUGCAGGCCUGAAGAUCCUCACUGGGCAGGUAAGCACUCUGGCAACCAAGCAACAACACAGAAACCAGCAAAAGCUACCUCCCACUCAACCCCAGCACAACAAUGCAGGCUUUCUGACUGUGGCUUAGCUCUGACACACCAAGAAACUCAGAUGCUGUGGGAACGACAGUACACUGUAUUCAGGAACUGAGAAUCUAAUGAUCUUGGCGAUGAACACAGGGGUAACUACCGUUGUCACAUUUUAUAUAACUCACUGAUGACUUGCUUUUAUUCCUUCUGUGAUGUUUAACUGGCCCAUUUCACUAUGAAAUCUGCCCAUCUUCUUCAAAUGCAAUUCCGCAGCAAUUGCAAAAAUCACCCGGCUUAACAACAUGAUCUAUAACACCAGUCUAUUUCAAAAAGUGGUUUACUUCAAAAAAAAAAAUAGAAGCUCUGCUUAUUUAUUUAAGAUUUCUAUGCAUUUUUCUUCAAAAUCCUGCAGAGCAGAAAAACAUUUAUUUUAUAUUUUUUUAUACUUGAGGAUGCAUCCAGGUAUAUCUACGUACAGCAACUGAUAUUUAAAGGAAAAAAAGAAACACAAAAAAGCAAUAUUUUGAGACAUUUUAUUUCUAAAUUAAUUUUAAUAAAAAAAUCCUUUCCAAGUUUGCACUUGUGAUUUUAGAGAUAUAAAUACAGACAUAGAUCAGCCAAUCAGUUACAAAUACAACAUCAGCAUCAUAUUAUCCUCCUCUUUUCACUGCAAAAAUAUUGAGAGCUCUCUUCAAAAAAAUAUGCUUAACAAAUAUGGUAAUAAUAGAUAUGAUCAUUUAUUUUUCCAAACACAAAGAAAGAAAUUAUUAUUAUGUAUGGAUUGCCUAUGUACAGAUGCCAGCUCAUUCCAGAACAAAACAUGGAACAUUAUAAAAGAAAGGAAGGAAGUUUCUGUGUGUGAGACAGUAGAAAAAGAAGGGGAAAAAAGGAACUGGCAACUAAAAUCAGUUCAGAAAUUCUACAUCACUGUUACACAAAAUCUAGCCCUGAUUUUGAAGUUACACAUCAGAGCUGCUCGAAAAGUAAUGCCUCCUAUUUUACUGUGUUGGUCCAUGAUGUCAGAAGUGGAUGCUGGUGGUAUGGCAGUAGAGGUUGAACUUUCCCAUCAACAAUCAAUGACAUUUAAACUACCUUCAGCAAGUUUGCAAAUGACACCAAGCUGACCUGAACAAGCUUAAUCAGGGGCCCAUGUGAAUCUACUGAGGUUCAACAAGGCUAAGUGCAAGGCGCUGCACUUGUGCUGGGGCAAUCUCAGACAUGAGUACAGAUUAGGGGAAGAACCCAUUGAGAAAAGCCCUGCAGAGAUAGACGUGAGGGUUCUGGUAAACGAGAAGCUGGACAUGAGCCAGAAGCAUUCACCUGCAGCCUGGAAGGCCAACUGUAUCCUGGGCUGCAUUAAAAGAGAGAUGGCCAGGAGCCCAAGAAGUGAUUUCCCCCUCUAUUCUACGCUCAUGAAGCCCCAUCUGAAGUACUGCAUCCAAGUCUGAGGCCUCCAUCAUAAGAAAGCUGUGGAACUGUCAGAGUGGGUCCAGAGGAAGGCUGCAAAGAUGCAGAGGCUGGAACACUUCUCCCGUGAAGAGAGGCUGAGGGAGCUGGACCUCAGCUUGGAGCCUGGAGAAGAAAAGGCUCUGCAGAGAUCUCACUGUGACCUGCCAGUACUAAAAUUGUACUUAUAAAAAAGAUGGAGAGCAACCUUUUACAUGGGCAGACAGUGACAGGACAAAGGGGAAUGGCUUUAAGCUGAAAGAAGAGAGAUUUAGAUUAGAUAUUGGGAAGAGAUUGUUUACCCAGAGGGCGGUGAAACACUGGCACAGGCUGCCCAGAGAAGCAGUGGGUGCCCCAUCCCUAGAGGUGUUCAAGGCCAGGCCGGAUGGGGCCCUGGGCAGCCUGAGCUGGUGGGUGGUAAUCCUGCCCACGGCAGAGGGUUGGGCUAGAUUACUUUUAAGGUCCCUUCCAACCCAAGCCAUUCUGUGAUUCCAUGAAUUCUGUUUGAAAGUGAUAAAAGCACACAUAAUCAGGCAUACAUAUUAAUGACACUGGACCAAGUGAAGUCAUUAACUUAUCUUAACAGUACAUAAAAAAAACAUACAAAACCAAAUCCAUUAAUUAUUUUAAAAUACAUUUAAUUAAAAAUAUGAAAGUAGCUCUUCUUCUAAGUAUGUCUACAUACCAACAUAGACUAAAAUUUUAUUCAUUGGGAGUUCUACAACCUGCAUCUUCAGAAUGGCUCUGGUUUCCACAUUCUGUUUUGCCCCAAGAAAAGCACAAGCAGUAGAUUGACCUUUUUAGGGGUGGAGGAAGCAAGGUCUUCCUUGGAAUAGAGGGUUAAAAAAAGAGAUGGUGAGGGAGGAUAGGCAGUUCCCCAUUAGGAACCAUAUUCUCAAAGGGUGGAGCUCUACGUCCUCAGUAUAGCCCCUUUCUGCAUGAGUCACCACUCAGCCAUUCCCCUCUUUCCAGAUAUGCAAGCUGCUCCUAUCAGUAUCUUUUAAGUUGUCACUACAAUGAGAAUUUUACUAACACAGUGACCCAAAUUCACUAAAAAGAAUGCACAUUAUAGUACUUUAACACAGCUGUACAAAGCUUGCAGAGCAUGUGAAAAUCAAAAUAAGAAAAAACUCUCCAAGUAAUUAGCAGUUUAGCUAACAGAAUUCCAAACACUUUCAGGAACAGCAUCUAUUACAUCACAUUGAGCACAACAGUCUCUGAAUUGAACUGUAGCUACUGUUUAAUGGCACACAGCACUCAACAGUUACAUUUAAGACAAAGUAAAGAAUGUUCAACUGAAAUAACAGACAUUUGGGAGGAGACAAAACACCAGCUAUUUUGAAAAUACAGGGCCUCCCACUCACUGUGAAUCACUAAAUUUAAGCUCAGCAUUUAAAUAUUUCUCCAAACUUGCAUUCAUGACAUAUUUGACGUUUGCAGAAGUCUUUUAGGAGAACUGUAUUCUUUCAGUGCAUAGUGGGUUGACUCCAGUUAGAGCCAGCGCACAGUGUUAGAAAUAACAAUGAUGGGGAAAGAAAAAUAUGAAGAUUAUCUGCACAAGUAACAAUUAAUUAUCUUUUUGUCUCCUAUUGCUAAAAGAAAUCUAUGAUUAAAGGAACAUGGACGUAGGACAAGUCUUAGUUCAAUCUUCAAACAGAAACAAUUUGUAUUAUUUCAGAUCAGGCAGUGGUAUGGUUUCACGAUACAGCUGAACCAACAGCUGAACACCAACAAGAAAGGGAGUUACGUUCUUCUCACUGUUGCUAUUCCCUCCUUAAAUGUAAAAUCUCUCCUUCCUCCUGUUCCAGGUGCACCUUCUUUCCUUCUUCCUAUCCCAGCUCCUCAGGCCAGCAUCAGUGCCUGUCUCACAUACAGUGAGUGAAUUCACUUCACUUACUGAAGAAACAAAAAAAAUCCCAUUUUUGCUGAAUUAGUUUUCUGUUAUUUUAGUGAGCUGAACUGAUUUGCUGUGUGAUCAGAUGGACAUCAAAAAAUUCAAAAACAUGCUGAACAUAACAGCAAGGUGUAAGAAAGAACUACACCACCAUAAAACAACAGAAUCAAAGCCCUCAGAGCUCCCAUGGCUCACUCAGUUCCACUUCACUUCAAGAAAAUGGGACACCAGAAAAAAUACGAUUAUUAUGUGAGAGACAUCACUACUACUAUAGCAGUUAGAAAGUGCAGAGAAGAACGGUGUUUUGUAUUGCCCUACUUUCUUUUAGAGCAAACAAUUUAACUCUGUUAACUGACUAUGAGCAGGGAAAUAACAGGAUACGUUUUUGCAAAUAAAGUCUAGGCUAAGGACUUCUUUGUAAAACUUCUUACAGAAGAACUUAGUCAUUUCAUCAGUUCACCAAAAGUACAUAAUACUUUUUUUUUUGUAAUGUUUUUGUGUUGCUGUCCUAAGUAUCCUUAGGUUCUUGAAAGUUCAAAUGCUCUCCCAGAAUGUCAUAAGGGAGAUUUCUGUGAACUGCUGCUUGGAGGGAGACCCUUCUCCAACAAAGACGACGACUCAUUCACAUGUGUGCUGGCACUUGCUCUCAGAACUCUGUCGCUCAGGUCCUAAACAUGACAGAUGCUAAGCAGGAUAAGAGAACAUCCAAACUCCAGCACUAAAUGUAGGAGCUUGAAUAUAUUUCAUGUCCUGAAAAGUUAACUGGAUGAUACUGGUAACCGACGGUGUUUGCAAGUCACUCUGGUGAGGUCUACAGAGAGAACUAGAAAAGCAAUUACAACUUACUUUGUAAAAGUUUUUCAGCUAAAUGACAAGACAGUGAUUGUGCUGAGCACUCCUGUUGCUCCCAGCUUUCAACAAGCGUUUUGAAGUUUUAAAUUCUGAGCCUCGAUUUUAACUGCAUCAGAGACUACAUACUAAAAUAGUUUAGCCAUCUCUUCACAUGGCCAUGUACAGCAGCAAAAUGCACACUUGAUCUCUUGAGGAUCCAUCAAUUAGCUUUUUUAAAACUAAACAUUAAGUCAAAGUGGUAUUUCACUACAUGUUAACUCAGCACACAUAGAUCCAUUCCAUAUGUUCUUCAAAAGAAAGUAAACAAUUUGAUAUUGCUUACUCUGCUGAAAAUAAAGUAGUAACUACUUAUACUACGUUUGAUUUUGACUGGUAGUGUUUAUAAAUUAAAAAAAUAAUAAUCACCUAUAACAACCAAGUCUUCUCUAUUCUGCACUAUCAUGCUGCCAAGUAUGUUUAGCAACUGCUAUAGUUCAUAGAAAUGUGGUUCCAUUUAUAGAUCAAUAUACAUAAUGAGAGAACUUGAGAAUAUUGUAUCUGAAUAUUAAGAUAGGGUAGUAAAAAUGACACUAAAACACCACUGAAGCAUUCUUUCCUAUGUAUGUACGUCCAGUAAGGACGUAUUUAUGAUGUUAAAAUACAGAGUCAUUUGGUUUCAGAGAUUAACUUAUGACACUGGUGAGGAGGGGAAAGGGAAGAAAAGUCUGAUCUCAAAAGAAAAUAAAUAAGAAGCAUCAAAGGAAACUGCCUACACUGUUGGGAACCCUGAGAGAGCCACAGACCAAGUUAUGCUUGGCAUGAAAGUAUAAGUUCUUUAUUUCAUUGAGUCAGUUACCAUUCAGGCUUCUGCGUAGUACUUCCAAUGGAGCAAAAGAGGCAUCCAGUUAUCAUAAACUCAGUAAAAGCAAAACCAUAUACAUUUCAGAUGGAAAAAAAACAGUAUUUUAACCCAAGUCAUAUAAUCUACAAUAACUAUUUAUGAAAACCAAGAACUGAUCAGUCCUAAACUGUGAUAGAGGAAACCGCAUCACCAGAAAGUUGUUAAAAAUUACUUAGGGGCAUGAAAAGAAAAAAAAAAAAUCUGGUCAACUAAUAAGAAAUUAUUUCAGGCUCCUAGUGUCCAAUCUAAUAAAUAAUUACAUCUAAAAUAUUGCAAACAGAGUAUUUUAAAUACUACAUUGAAAAAAUAGUCGGUUUUUUUUUCAACCAUCAACGAUCAGGAAAAUCAGUAACAGUUACAUACGCCUUUAGCUUCAGGAAUAACUAAAGAUAACAAAACUGACAGUCAGUGAAGAUACUGGAGGAAUCUAAUGAGCAAGCUGACUCAAGAGGUUUCAGUAAGGUACAAAUGAAGAAGCCCUUGAGUCUUUGCUCUCAUCCUUAAAAUCAGCAAGACACUCUUCCUACAUAAAUGCACAAUGAUUUAAACUCUGCGUUUUCAUUUUUAGUUCUUCAAUAAUGUUUUUAAUACCAAAAUACUACAGCUAAGAUUCUUUUUCAGAAACAUUUUAAUCAAGACGUAUCAGUAAGAUUUAACAUGCAGAAUACUGUAGCAGUAAUUCUGGAGAUGAAUCAUAGAAUGUCCCAAGUUGGAAGGGAUCCAAAAGGAUCACUGAGUUCAACCACUGGCUCCACACAGGACCACCAGUUAUCCAGUGGUUGCUUCUACGCAUGUUGCCACGUGUGUCAGCAGCACACCAGGGGCUCUCAAUUUUGAUCUCAGCGCUGAGGAGUCACCAUCUGCCAGAGAGCCCCUGUGCCAGCUGCUGCUCCCUAUCACUCUUUCUUCCCCAUCCCUCAUCCCUCCCCAAGACCUCUCACCUCUUCUUCCCCAAGCUCUGAAGAAAAGGGAAGGACCGGGACUGGCAUCCUCUGAGCUGCUGUGCUGGGACAACAGGAGGAGCCCAGCAGAUGGCCCUGAGCUCCCUGCAGCCUCCAGACAGUGUCAGAGAAGCCACAGAGGCAGCUGUUUCUUUGGAGAAUCUGGAGACCUUGGUUUGGACAGGAGGAAGGGCUGAUGUUCAUCAUGAAGGUCCAAUCCAGUUGUUACAUUAGGGCUUCUUUUCAAGACAGAACAAUAAACAUAAUAAAAUAAAUAAAUAAAUAAAUAACCAGUAAA
This is a long non-coding RNA of Numida meleagris (helmeted guineafowl), 6459 nucleotides long. RefSeq lists it as uncharacterized. The transcript is spliced from 2 exons. The record is from RefSeq and is a predicted model, not a curated record. Lineage: Eukaryota; Metazoa; Chordata; Aves; Galliformes; Numididae.